AAACAAUGAUGAGCACAUUAUCCCGAAUCUGAGCCCAGUUUGAUGAUACCAAACUACGGAUCUGACUACUGAGUU
Onychostoma macrolepis is the source of this 75-nucleotide small nucleolar RNA. RefSeq annotates it as small nucleolar RNA SNORD50. The record is from RefSeq and is a predicted model, not a curated record. The transcript has a single exon. NCBI's taxonomy places the organism in Eukaryota, Metazoa, Chordata, Actinopteri, Cypriniformes, Cyprinidae.